Molecule: long non-coding RNA, 746 nt
Organism: Lagopus leucura (white-tailed ptarmigan)
Lineage: Eukaryota; Metazoa; Chordata; Aves; Galliformes; Phasianidae
Exons: 6
Source: RefSeq, a predicted model, not a curated record
UGCUCCUUGUGGAGUUUCCUGUGAGCCUGCUACACUGCAUAAAGAGAGGCUGUAGAGGGAUCUCCUGGAGAAGGACUGUUAUCUCAGACAAUCUUCACACUUCACAUUUAAGACUUCACUUACAAGUCUAGGGAGAAAAUGCUAUGUUCAUAUCAACAGAAAAUGGAGGAUGAUUCAGUUUGCAGUUUCGUAAGCUGUGCAAUUUGGACAUCUUCAUAAGGAGAUAGAUGAGGAGGUCUCAGAGGGUGAUGUUGGACAAUUGCUCAUCUGCCCAGAGGAUUCUCAUGACUGGUUAGCAGUCAAGGGAGCAGCAUUUUUGUUUGGAAGAUGUACAUUUCUUCAGGCUUCAUGGGCCUUUGGAAGGGGUCAACGAAAGGCCCUGGUAAAUACAUGAUUAGUGUUGUGAUCUCCUUCUCAACAUCAGAACAGGCCAUUAUCGUACCUUCAGUAUGUUCCCGUUCCAAAAUUGCCAUCCGGCAAACCUGCUUUCCUGUAUUCUCAACAGGAUAGUUUCCUCAUUAAAUUCUUGUGCCAACUUUGUAUCUUCACAGAUCUGUAUAUUUCCUUUUUAUUUUAACUGCCAAAUUCUACAUUUUUCAAUUUUUUUUCUUUGAAUAUAGUGUUCCACAGUCCUUUACAUCUUAACUGCUGACCUCAUCCUUAGUUGUAACUAACUCCUCAAAAACUAGAACAGCUUCCUCUUAUGUCUUAUUCACAAAACUAGAACUAUUCACGCUCUUCAUGAA